GGCGAACGGGUGAGUAACACGUGGGUGAUCUGCCCUGCACUUCGGGAUAAGCUUGGGAAACUGGGUCUAAUACCGGAUAGGAGCCAUCUUUAGUGUGGUGGUUGGAAGUUUUUAGGUGUAGGAUGAGCUCGCGGCCUAUCAGCUUGUUGGUGGGGUAAUGGCCUACCAAGGCGGCGACGGGUAGCCGGCCUGAGAGGGUGUACGGCCACAUUGGGACUGAGAUACGGCCCAG
Molecule: ribosomal RNA, 232 nt
Filed under: uncultured Actinomycetales bacterium
Lineage: Bacteria; Bacillati; Actinomycetota; Actinomycetes; Actinomycetales
Description: partial 16S ribosomal RNA
Rfam family: Bacterial small subunit ribosomal RNA
Source: RNAcentral